UGGGGCAUCCGUGUACUUUGGACACAUUCUUGUUUGUUAUCUGUUUAAAUGGUUGCUUAGUAUUCUUUGUUAUCUGUUUAAAUGGUUGAUUAGUGUUCUUUGUUAUCUGUUUAAAUGGUUGGUUAGUGUUCUUUGUUAUCUGUUUAAAUGGUUGAUUGGUGUUCUAUGUUAUCUGUUUAAAUGAUUCAUUAGUGUUCUUUGUUAUAUCUGUUUAAAUGGUUGGUUAGUGUUCUUUGUUAUCUGUUUAAAUGGUUGAUUGGUGUUCUUUGUUAUCUGUUUAAAUGAUUCAUUAGUGUUCUUUAUUAUCUGUUUAAAUGGUUGAUUAGUGUUCUUUGUUAUCUGUUUAACUGAUUCAUUAGUGUUCUUUGUUAUCUGUUUAAAUUUUUGAUUAGUGUUCUUUGUUAUCUGUUUAAAUGGUUGAUUAGUGUUCUUUGUUAUCUUUUUUUAAAUUGUUGAUUGGUGUUAUCUGUUUAGAUUGUUCAUUGGUGUUCUUUGUUAUCUGUUUGAAUUGUUUCAAAUUUAGUAUUCUUAAGUUUGCUAGCAUUUUACAUGUGUGUUUCGUGUUUCCUGGUAGUCGUUUAAAUGAUUGUUUGGUGUUCUUUACUACCCAUUUAAAUGGUUUAUUGGUGUUCUUUGCUAGCCGUUCAAACAUUUCGAUGGUGUUCAUUUUACUUACAAGAAUUAACCGACUAAUCGAUUCCAGGAGAUUAAUAAUCAACAAUGUAUUGCGGUUAACUUUAUACGUCAUUCAACAUUUCACCUUGUCAUGUUUUGCUCAUUUGCAAUCAAUAAUGCGUCCUGGUUAAAAUUGAGGUUAACCAUCCAUUCGGCAAACCUCGGUAGAAUCCGCUACUCCCCGUAGAUGAGGGUACGGAAUCGGCCGAGUUAAGACGAAUGGUUAACCAUCAAGUUAUAUUUUGAGUUUGGUUUCUAAUGAAAUAUUAUAUAUGUUGUACAAUAUAAAUGAUAGUUUAAAUAUACCAUUGAAUAUGCAUUGUCCAGUAAAAGUUUAAAGGAAACAACAUUAUAAUGAUUAGGACUUGUGGGUAUAGGUAAAUAUAAAACAACCCAACAACAAACAUAACCAUUCGAUAAUCUGAGUGCUUAUAAUCACGAAAAUAUGUAUAGACAUAUUAUAUACAAAUUAAUGCAAGCUCUGAUUCGUCUAAAUCCAAAAAAAAAACAACAAAAACUUCCAAAUAAAUUUAACAUAAAUAUCAUUCAUAAUAAAAAAAUAAUCUUAAAGUUAAUAGAAAGAUAUUAUGAAAUGGCAUAUGUCAUAACGUAUGAAGAGGUUCAUGAUUUGGUACUAGCACAUGAAAAUUUGUCGGUUUACAGCAGAAUGCAUUUAGUAUGUAGGUAAAGAUAGAAUAUUUGGUUAGCUUUAUUGUUAGGUGAACCGUGAAGUCGUUAUAAGUUUAUGAAUCCUACCCUCCUUUCGGAGUAGUCUAGUCCUACAUACGGAUGAAUUGGUUAUCUGUCGAACUAACCUAUUAAUAAAAAUUUAAUGAAUUUAUGGUUCAGCUGGCGAGCAAGUUAACAAAAGAUAUAUCCUUUACCUACACACUCAAUGCAUUCUGCUGUAAACUAGUUUUAUAACUAAUUAGUUAUCAUAUACACCUUAGUAACUCCAUCGGUAUUGUAAUUAUAACUCGUCUAAACAUCAACCCAACAAUGUUAGUUCUGUGAAUUUGCUUUCGCAAAUUUUUUGUUCUUCCCUCGCCGGGAUUUGAACCCAUGCUACUGUGAUAUCGUGACACCAAAUCGCC
RNAcentral lists this long non-coding RNA (1769 nucleotides) under Mytilus galloprovincialis (Mediterranean mussel). Lineage: Eukaryota; Metazoa; Mollusca; Bivalvia; Mytilida; Mytilidae. The record is from RNAcentral.